GGUGGAUUACCGCAGUAGCCGACCGGACCCGACCGUACAUCGGGCGCUGUAUGCCGCGCAGGUGCGAAUCCUGCAUCCACCA
Molecule: transfer RNA, 82 nt
Filed under: Bifidobacterium pseudolongum
Lineage: Bacteria; Bacillati; Actinomycetota; Actinomycetes; Bifidobacteriales; Bifidobacteriaceae
Description: tRNA-Tyr
Source: RNAcentral